CGACGAUGCAUAGCCGAGUUGAGAGACUGAUCGGCCACAUUGGGACUGAGACACGGCCCAAACUCCUACGGGAGGCAGCAGUAGGGAAUCUUCCACAAUGGACGCAAGUCUGAUGGAGCAACGCCGCGUGAGUGAAGAAGGUUUUCGGAUCGUAAAGCUCUGUUGUUGGUGAAGAAGGAUAGAGGUAGUAACUGGCCUUUAUUUGACGGUAAUCAACCAGAAAGUCACGGCUAACUACGUGCCAGCAGCCGCGGUAAUACGUAGGUGGCAAGCGUUGUCCGGAUUUAUUGGGCGUAAAGCGAGCGCAGGCGGAAAAAUAAGUCUAAUGUGAAAGCCCUCGGCUUAACCGAGGAACUGCAUCGGAAACUGUUUUUCUUGAGUGCAGAAGAGGAGAGUGGACUCCAUGUGUAGCGGUGGAAUGCGUAGAUAUAUGGAAGAACACCAGUGGCGAAGGCGGCUCUCUGGUCUGCAACU
This 474-nucleotide ribosomal RNA is filed under the name uncultured Bacilli bacterium. Its description in RNAcentral is "bacterial SSU rRNA". It matches the Rfam family "Bacterial small subunit ribosomal RNA", at positions 274 to 741 of the family's 1533-position model. Lineage: Bacteria; Bacillati; Bacillota; Bacilli. The record is from RNAcentral.